GACGAACGCUGGCGGCGUGCUUAACACAUGCAAGUCGAGCGGUAAGGCCCUUUCGGGGGUACACGAGCGGCGAACGGGUGAGUAACACGUGGGUGACCUGCCCUUAGCUCUGGGAUAAGCCUGGGAAACUGGGUCUAAUACCGGAUAUGACUCCAUGACGCAUGUUGUGGGGUGGAAAGCCUUGUGCGGCUAGGGAUGGGCCCGCGGCCUAUCAGCUUGUUGGUGGGGUGAUGGCCUACCAAGGCGACGACGGUAGCCGCCUGAGAGGGCGACCGGCCACACUGGGACUGAGACACGGCCCAGACUCCUACGGGAGGCAGCAGU
Molecule: ribosomal RNA, 324 nt
Filed under: uncultured bacterium
Lineage: Bacteria
Description: bacterial SSU rRNA
Rfam family: Bacterial small subunit ribosomal RNA
Source: RNAcentral